Molecule: long non-coding RNA, 278 nt
Filed under: Felis catus (domestic cat)
Lineage: Eukaryota; Metazoa; Chordata; Mammalia; Carnivora; Felidae
Description: lncRNA (ENSFCAG00000041286.2)
Source: RNAcentral
UGCCAUGUGGGGUAGGGUCCAGCUUUGAGCACACUUCUGACUCCUCUUUCCCUUUUCCAGAGGAAAAUCACUCUGCUGUCCAUGCCCUGGAACAAUUGGCUCCCAAAAGCAAAGCUUGUCUGUGAUGGGAUGCCAGCUCAUGGUGGAAUUUUCGUAUUUUGCUCCAUGAAGACAGAGAUGUGGAGAUGCAGAAACAUCAGUGACUAGCUGAAAGCCCCAUGAAUUCCCGAAACAAAAUCAAGCUACCAGAAUAAAAGGCCUUUGUCGUCAAAUCCUCA